CUUCCCAAAGGAAAAGAUUCUGCCUCAAGCAAAGAAAUUCUUUAUUGGCACACCUGAAAUCUAUAACUCACAAAUAGACAUUUAAUGGGAGAUUGUUGUUAAAAGCCUGCAUUCUAUCUUUGCUAUUAUUACUUUCCACAGCCAGCUGAACUGGUGGUGGUCAGAGUAGCAUCUCAUCCAAAACACCCUUUUUGUUUGUAUACUAUUUAUCUCAUUGCUGCUUUUUUGUUUGUUAAUGUGAAAGUUGAAUGACCUCCUGAGGAGAGAGUGAUAUCACCUGAGCUGAGAUAACAUUUAAUGCUUUGAUACGAUUGAGAUAUAACUGACUGUAGUCCUUGAAUCUCUCAGAAAACGGGGAUCUCCAUGGGUGAGCUAUAGCGGUGAGAUUCCGAAAUUUCAAGCGACCAGCUGGUGUGAUGGAGCAAUGGAAGGGAGGAAUGCCUUCUGACGUACGCAGCAAAUUACUUCCGCUGGGUGCCUUUAGAUAAGGUGGUCUUCCACAUUUGGAUGUAGGCAAGAACAGAUUUCCAAUACUUUUUUUUUUGGAGACUUGGUGUAUGUGACUCGGAGCUCAAGAUUUAAG
Molecule: long non-coding RNA, 583 nt
Organism: Rhincodon typus (whale shark)
Lineage: Eukaryota; Metazoa; Chordata; Chondrichthyes; Orectolobiformes; Rhincodontidae
Exons: 3
Source: RefSeq, a predicted model, not a curated record